Molecule: non-coding RNA, 555 nt
Organism: Sarcophilus harrisii (Tasmanian devil)
Lineage: Eukaryota; Metazoa; Chordata; Mammalia; Dasyuromorphia; Dasyuridae
Source: the annotation of a RefSeq genome assembly
UCCUUCCUGCCCUCUCAGGGCUCUGAGUACUCUCUGCACAGUCUCUGAAGGCCAGGAUGAGCUCCCCAUGGCAGCUGUUCUGGCUCCUGGUGCUCUGGUCUCAGGAUUCCCAAGGAGCCAUUGUGCUGACCCAGUCUCCAGCCUCCUUGUCCAGAUCUCCAGGAGAGAGAGUCACCAUCAGCUGCAAGGCCAGUCAGAGUGUAUCUGAUUCUAGUAAUAGCUACUUGUACUGGUACCAACAAAAACCAGGCCAAGUCCCCAGACUCCUCAUCUCCUAUGCUACCAGCCUGGAAUCCGGGGCUCCUGCCAGGUUCAGCAGCAGUAGGUCUGGGACAGAUUUCACUCUCACCAUCAGCAGCCUGGAGCCUGAAGAUGGUGGACAUUAUUACUGUCAGCAUGGUUAUGGAAUACCUGCCACAGUGCUUCAGGCCUGAACAAAAACCUCCCCAGUGUGUCCAGGGGACUGAGCUCAGAGCAGCAGGUGCCUCCUCGGGGUCCCCAGGGCAGAGCAGCCCCUGCUCUCUGGGCAGGCUCACACUUCCCAGUGCUUCUCCU